RNAcentral lists this ribosomal RNA (253 nucleotides) under uncultured bacterium. Its description in RNAcentral is "partial 16S ribosomal RNA". It matches the Rfam family "Bacterial small subunit ribosomal RNA", at positions 524 to 776 of the family's 1533-position model. The record is from RNAcentral.
UACGUAGGGCGCAAGCGUUAUCCGGAAUUAUUGGGCGUAAAGAGCUUGUAGGCGGUUUGUCGCGUCUGCUGUGAAAAUUCGGGGCUCAACCCCGGACUUGCAGUGGGUACGGGCAGACUAGAGGUAUGCAGGGGAGAACGGAAUUCCUGGUGUAGCGGUGAAAUGCGCAGAUAUCAGGAGGAACAUCAGUGGCGAAAGCGGCACCCUGGCAUUAGCCUGACGCUCAUGUGCGAAAGCGUGGGGAGCGAACGGG